Equus caballus (horse) is the source of this 1983-nucleotide non-coding RNA. The record is from RefSeq and is a predicted model, not a curated record. NCBI's taxonomy places the organism in Eukaryota, Metazoa, Chordata, Mammalia, Perissodactyla, Equidae.
CAGGCUUUAAAUUUACCUCAGCUUCAUCUACUCUAGACAAUGUCAACCUAUCUCUUUGGGAAGUCACAAGGAUCCUGCAAGGUGAAUUCCAGGCUCUGAAGCACAAAAAUGCAGAAACCAAAUGUGACCAAUAUAAGGGCUUAAUGAGUGCUGAAGAAGGCAAGACUAAUUCCUAGUCAUACUCCCACCAUUACAGCCUGUUUCCAGCAUUUCAAAAACAGUUCCACACUAUUUACUCAUAUUCAAAUUAACUAUUAACCCAGGUUUUUUUUUUUAAUAUUGUGCUCCAGGUAUCUCAUGAAUUGCAAAACAUUCCUUAAUUGAUACAGUGUUUGGGCAGUAUUUAUACCUACCCUGACUUUCUCCUGAUUAUGUUUGUUUGAACUUAUUAGUCCUAAGGCAUAUUGCAUUGUUUCCCCCUAUUCUGCUUUUUCCUGGCAUUGAUAAAUUUGUUCUUUCAGUUUCAAGGCCACCCUAAAAUGUAUUCCAUAUUCCCUGAUGUUUGUGACUGCUCAGCUUUUUGUCUUCAUGAUUCUAAAGAGAACAUUUUCAAAUCCAUCAUUGGUCAAUGAUGGCUAUUAAAAUAGUGCUAAGCUCAAGGCUGACUGAUGUCCACUAUCACUUCAGGUGUUCCCUCUCAGUUUCUCAGAUUGGUGAUAAGUUAUUUAGAAGCCACCCUUUCAACAGUGCCAAAAGUUGCAAAUGGUAUGCUGCUGUUUCUUGAAAAUUCAUGAUUUUGAAAAACAAAGAAACAGAAGAUGACAGUAGUAACAUUCACUGGAGAAGUAGGCCCCCUGCAGCCAGCCUUGGAGAUCCAGAUCUUCUGGGCAGCCAGUAACUAAUUCUUACCUCAGGGUAGGGGUAGUGUUGGUCUUGGCUUUCUGGCUGUAGCUCAUACUGUAGCCUUUCAGGGCUUAAGCAGAGCCAUUUUGCUAUAAAUUUAGACAUAAUUUAACGAGUUCAGUUAUCUAGUUUCCUAGAUCAUCUGAGUAGAAACACAGAAGCAGCAAGUUAGAACAGAAGAAACAAGCUCACAGUAGCAAGUAGUGACAGUUAAAAAGCGGGAAAGGACAACAGUGGAGACUAGAAAGCUAACAUAAGAACCUAAAAAGCAAAGUAGCCUGGGCCCAUUAGCAGAAAAGCAGAUGACUACUUCUGUAAUCCUUGCAGCCCUUGAGCUGAGACUACCAGAAGGAGAGAAGAGAAAGAAGAAAAAAAUAUUUGAAGAACAGAAUGCUGAAAGUCAAAGGCAAGGAGAAAAUCUUGAAAAAAGCGAGAGAAAAAUGUCAUUUACAAGGGAGCUCAAUAUGAUUAACAGUUGACUUCUCAUCAGGAACAAUGAAAGCCAGAAGGCAGUGGAAAAACAUUCAAAACGCUCCAAGAAAAAUACUGUCAACCAAGAAUCCUAUAUCCAGCACAGCUAUCUUUAAAACAAGAAGGCGAAAUACUUUCCCAGAUAAACAGAAACUGAGAGAAUUUGUUGCUAGCCAACUCAUGUCACAAACAAAUACUAAGUUCUACAGGUUGAAAGAAAGUUAUCCUGGACAGUAAUAUGAAUCCACAUAAACAAAGAACACUGGUAAAGGUAAUUAUGUAACUAUAAAUGCAUAUUUUUCUUUCUUGACUGACAAAAAGCAAUUUCAUAAAAUAUGAAUAUAAUGUAUUGUUGAGCCUAUGACAUAUAGAAAUGUAACAUAUGUGUAAUAUAUUCGCCAACAGCAGCACAAAAGAGGUGAAUGUAAGCAAUGCUGUGAUGCACUAGAGAAAUGACUACAGACAAUAGAGUAAUAUUUAUAACAAUGCAUUGAUGCAUUUGUAACAUUAACAGAUGUAAUAUGUAGGCACUGCCUAGAAAAUGCUUUAGACAUGGUACUCAAUGAGAGCAAGUUUCAGAUAAUACUAUGCAAUUUGUUACACUCAUUGCCCAAACUUCCCCCUCCCCAAAAAAUAUCACCCAAAUAUAAUAAAUAUAAGGAAUCCUAA